RNAcentral lists this ribosomal RNA (186 nucleotides) under uncultured Staphylococcus sp. RNAcentral's name for it is "partial 16S ribosomal RNA". It matches the Rfam family "Bacterial small subunit ribosomal RNA", at positions 154 to 334 of the family's 1533-position model. The record is from RNAcentral. Lineage: Bacteria; Bacillati; Bacillota; Bacilli; Caryophanales; Staphylococcaceae.
GAACCGGAGCUAAUACCGGAUAAUAUAUUGAACCGCAUGGUUCAAUAGUGAAAGACGGUUUUGCUGUCACUUAUAGAUGGAUCCGCGCAGCAUUAGCUAGUUGGUAAGGUAACGGCUUACCAAGGCAACGAUGCGUAGCCGACCUGAGAGGGUGAUCGGCCACACUGGAACUGAGACACGGUCCAG